CACCAGAGCUCACCGCCGGCCCAGCCGCUGGGCUGCCCCUAUACUGAGCAUUAUUUUGUGUAUUUUGUGUAUUUUGUGGCCCUGGCCGGCUCGAGGGUUGCCCGCGGAUACCUCGACACUCAAGGAGCACUGCAGUGUCAACCUGGUGACCUCAGGCGAGCGCUGUCCCCCGUGUCCCGCCGGAGUCCUCCCACGAACCUGUAACUUACACUCUUACUGAUUCAUCAGUUCACACCACAACACCAGAAAACAGAACAACACGAGCAGACCAACCAGAGCAGGCAGCCCAAGGGAGCUGUGAGAAGGAGAAGAGCGGCCACACAACCACGAGCUGGAAAGAGCUGGACCAAAGAGGGCCGGGACCCACCUGUUGGUUCUUUGAGAGCAUCGGGGGGAAGACAGGUGGCACCAUCUAGCUUGUCCAUGGCAGGACCAGAAAGAGGGCCUGUCACAUGCCAACCCAGCUGGCUGGUAGCUGACCAGAAGGGCAGGUGGUGGGGCUGCCCCCAGGCCUUGUCCAGGAUGGGGUGCCCGUGCUGGGGGCCAGGGAGGCACAGAGCCCUGUCCUUCCUGACAGGCUGAGGACCAGUGUUUGGCGAGGCUGAAGAUGGCCUAGGGCGGCCCUGGGGCUGGGCUGUGUGGAGCAUUUCUGCUAAGGCAGAGAGAGGCAGCCCUCCCUGUCUCAUGUGGUCAGGAGGGGUCAGCACCCACCUCUGGGUGGCCAUCCGGGAGCCCUGCCCCUUGCCAUCACCUCCCCCACAGCAUGGUGCAGGCUCUGGGCUUGGGCUCUACAUGGGGAGUCCCUCCUUGAGGGCACCAGGAAGGAGAGGGCAGGGCUGGGGCUCCCACUGGUCGGAAGCUCUGUCCACACCCACAGGGCCCCCACCUUUGCAGACCCUGCCCAGGGCUCUGGCCUGCGGUGGAUCCCAGUUAGGUUGGGGUCAGGUUGAGCCUAAGACCACUGAAGGGGCUGCCCAGUGGGGUCACGCCGAGGUAGCCAGGAGGCUAGUCAGGCCCCAGGGACUGCAGGCCACGGCACAGGGUCUGGCUAGGAGCUGUGGCUGUGGGCUUGCUCUGGAGAGCUGCCCGGUCACAGGCACUGCUGCGCCACACAGGAGCCUGGCGCCCUCGAGAGUGCAGACAGCUUUGCACCCUGGCCUGGGCCUGCACACGCCCACCCACCACCUCUGCUGUCCCUUCACUGCUCACCACUUUUAGAGAGCCUCUCUGACCCGCCAGACGGCACUCACUCGGUGGCCUAAUUUCUGGGGUGGGGGCACACUUCUCCCUGCCUCCAUGCUGGACCCAGAGCCUCCCUUGCCCAAGGUGGCUGUGGCUGUCCCCUGGACUCUGUAGCUGGCUUGUUGUGGAGUGAGCAGGAGGCACUUCCCUGUUCCUGUCCUCCGAGUCCACAUGGGGAAUGGGUCUGCAUCAUGCGUGCCCCUGCCCUUGGCUCUGCCUGACUCCCAUGUCCAGACUGUACCUUGUCCUGGGUGCCCAGCGGGGACAGUGAGAGGCACACACGGGUUCUGGGUGGCUUGGUCAGGGGAAGAGAAUGAUCCUGGCAGGUGCCUUCAGACACCCGGAUCUGGCAGCUACCAGGGGUGGCUGGCCCAAAAGGGGCCCCAGGAGCUCCUCCCUGCAGCCCUGGGGCACACUUGCCAACGGGAGCCGAUCACUGGGUGCUGUACAUGCAGCUGUACAUGCAGCAAGAGGGAAAGCCUGCUGCCCUGCAGAGGCUGGAAGGAGGGGCAGUUGUUGGGAAAAGUAUAACGGCAGCUGCACCCCAGAGAAAAACCCCAACAUGGCGUCUAAGGACCUUCUCUUCCUACUUUCCCCUUUUUUUCCACUGGCUUGAAAAGUUCCCGCGGGUUGAACUCUCCUGCCGGCGCCAAGUUCAAAUCUCGCUGGCGGGGAACCUGAGCCCCAGUAAGAACUAAUUCCUGGGCUCCAGAGCUGAUAUCUGGAAGAACUUGCCAAUAAACGCGCGGCCUGCCAUUUAUCUAAGCCCUGCCAUCUCUCCUAGAUCUAUGUUAGCACAGAGCCUUUUGCAAUAAAGUUGGAAUUCUCCCCGGCGA
Molecule: long non-coding RNA, 2078 nt
Organism: Ictidomys tridecemlineatus (thirteen-lined ground squirrel)
Lineage: Eukaryota; Metazoa; Chordata; Mammalia; Rodentia; Sciuridae
Source: RefSeq, a predicted model, not a curated record